Molecule: ribosomal RNA, 672 nt
Filed under: uncultured Bacteroidales bacterium
Lineage: Bacteria; Pseudomonadati; Bacteroidota; Bacteroidia; Bacteroidales
Description: bacterial SSU rRNA
Rfam family: Bacterial small subunit ribosomal RNA
Source: RNAcentral
GAUGGCGACCGGCGCACGGGUGAGUAACACGUAUCCAACCUGCCGUCUACUCUUGGACAGCCUUCUGAAAGGAAGAUUAAUACAAGAUGGCAUCAUGAGUUCACAUGUUCACAUGAUUAAAGGUAUUCCGGUAGACGAUGGGGAUGCGUUCCAUUAGAUAGUAGGCGGGGUAACGGCCCACCUAGUCUUCGAUGGAUAGGGGUUCUGAGAGGAAGGUCCCCCACAUUGGAACUGAGACACGGUCCAAACUCCUACGGGAGGCAGCAGUGAGGAAUAUUGGUCAAUGGGCGAGAGCCUGAACCAGCCAAGUAGCGUGAAGGAUGACUGCCCUAUGGGUUGUAAACUUCUUUUAUAAAGGAAUAAAGUCGGGUAUGGAUACCCGUUUGCAUGUACUUUAUGAAUAAGGAUCGGCUAACUCCGUGCCAGCAGCCGCGGUAAUACGGAGGAUCCGAGCGUUAUCCGGAUUUAUUGGGUUUAAAGGGAGCGUAGAUGGAUGUUUAAGUCAGUUGUGAAAGUUUGCGGCUCAACCGUAAAAUUGCAGUUGAUACUGGAUAUCUUGAGUGCAGUUGAGGCAGGCGGAAUUCGUGGUGUAGCGGUGAAAUGCUUAGAUAUCACGAAGAACUCCGAUUGCGAAGGCAGCCUGCUAAGCUGCAACUGACAUUGAGGCUCGAA